UGCAGCCUUAAAAAGAAAAAAAGAAAAUGUUGUGGUAGCGUAUUAUGAAGUAAUACAUAGUAUUUAGCUUAAACAAACAAGAGAUACAUAUAGGUACACAGAUGGAUCAUAAAAACACUAUUGGUUGAAAAAUGUAAGAAACAAUGAGAUUUAAGGUACAGUGCUAUUUAUGUAAAUUGGAAGAAUUACGUAUCAAAACACAACUACUUUUUUUGUAAUCAUGUUAGGCCUAUUAAGGAUGAAUUCUAAUCAUAUGAAUGUAAUAUAUGAAGGAGGAAAUUGGAAAAAAAAAAAAACCCAAAAUUAAGUAUGUGCAACUAGUGGUAAUUUGAUAUAAAAUGAAAAACCUGGUUUAUUCAACUCUUUGCCCUUGAAAUCUGAUUCAGAUUGUGGAGAAGGCAAAAUCAGAUGAAAAAAAUUCAAGAAUGUCAAUAAUAGUAAUUGUAAAUAGAUUAAAUUUGUUAAAAGAAAAUUUCAGAUUGAAAGGACACAUUUUUUUUCUGUUUAUGAGUCAGAUUUUAUGGCUAAAAUCUGAAAGAAAGUUAGAAAAUGGAAAAAGCACAUAGACAAAUUGCGACUGAAGGAAACUUUUUAUAAUACUAACAACUAACUAAAUAGAUUUUUAAGUCAUAGAGAAAUACUAGGAAUAAAAAAGAUAAUUGUGCAUGAAAGAGUUUACCAGUAGGCUGUCCCCAAAUAGUGGCAUAGCAAAUGUGCUGUAUUAUUAGGUGCACUUAAUAACCUAGUUCCAAAACAUAUAAACUAAGACUGGACAGAAAUGCAAGAAUAAAUUGAUAAAGUACACAGUCAUAGUGCAAUAUUUAAUAGACUUCUUCCAAAAUAGAUAAGUAGAAAAACAUGGAGUUCCUGUCGUGGCGCAGUGGUUAACGAGUCCGACUAGGAACCAUGAGGUUGCGGGUUUGGUCCCUGCCCUUGCUCAGUGGGUUAAUGAUCCAGCGUUGCUGUGAGCUGUGGUGUAGGUUGCAGAUGCGGCUCAGAUCCCGCGUUGCUGUGGCUCUGGCGUAGGCUGGCGGCUACAGCUCUUAUUAGACCCCUGGUCUGGGAACCUCCACAUGCCGGGGGAGCGGCCCAAGAAAUGGCAAAAAGAUGAAAAAAAAAAUGUGGAAGAGUUUAUCAACACAUCUAACAAGAUUGAUUAAUAUAUAUAUGUAUAUAUAGAGAGAGACAGGUAUAAAUAUAUAGAAAUUUAGACAUAUUCCUGCCCCUUAAAAAUAUAGAGAAUACAUAUUUUUUCAAAAUACAGGUGAAAUGUUUAUAAAUACUCACCACAUACUAGGUCAAAGAUGAAAUUAGUAUAUUCCGAAGAAUGGCUAUCAUAUGGACCAUGCUCUUUGAUCAUAAUUAGCUUUUUUAGUAAUAAAAAGACAUUAAAGCAACAACCCCUUUAUAUGGAAACAGUAAGCAAUGUACCUACACAUAAAAUGGUGAUUCUAUGCAAGGGCUUUUCUGUUUUUGAGUAAUGGAUAAAUUCAAGGACACUAAGGAAUGCAUGAAGCAUAAUAAAAUCCGUGUAAGAGUAAACAAACCUUUAUAUCAUUCGGCCCUCAGAGCACUCCCAGGGUAGGUGUUUCUGUUUUCAGUUUUACUGAUGAAGAAACUGAGGGUCAGUAACUUGCACAGAGUCACACAGCUUAUAAGUUGUGCAAACAGUAUUCACAUCUAUUUUCUUUUCUUUUCUUUUUUUUAAACAGCCACACCUGGGGCAUACGGAAGUUCCCAGGCUUGGGGUAGAAUCAGAGCUGUAGCUGCAGACCUAUCCCACAGCCACGGCAAUACCACAUUUAAGCCACAUCUGCAACCUACACUGCAGCUUGUGGCAACGUUGGAUCCUUAACCCACUGAGCGAGGCCAGGGAUCGAACCCGCCUCCUCAUGGAUACUGGUUGGGUACAUAACCUGCUGAGCCACAACAGGAACUCCUAUUUUCUUUAACACUGUAAUAGAAAGAGACAUAUAAAAGGACAUUAACUCUAAAGAGGAGAGGUGAAAUGGCUGAUCUGUACAAGUUGAAGGUGACUCAUCAUUCACUGGGCAGUUUUUCUGGAAGUAACAUGUGGAGGCCAUGUGCCAGCUUUUUAAGGAGUUGAUGCUGUGUAAUCAGGCCUUCCCAGAAGAGAGACUAGCUCUAUUUUUGUUUCCAAAGGCAUUUUGUCAACUGUAAGUCAUGUAACAAAUAUUAGAUGUUAUCAUUCAUGUUAUGUGUUGCCCAGAAGUCCUUUGCUUCCUGGAAGUUUUAUGGAAAAAGUUCAAAUUGUAUUUGUGAUAAAUUUUCAGAUAAUGUAAUUUAUGCUGAAAGAGUAGUAGUGUAAGAACUUUACUAGGAAAUUUUCACUAUCUUUCUAGACUGGAGAAUAAAAUAAGAUGAUUCACAUCAGAUUUUUUGUGUAUGGGUUGUCCUUUUUUAAAAAAAUUUAACCAUUUUUAAAAUUAUAGUUAAUUUUACAAUGUUGUGUUAGUUUCAGGUGGACAGCAAAGUGAUUCGGUUAUACAUGUAUUUUUUUCCAUUAUAGGUUAUUACAAGAUAUUGAAUAUAGUUCCCUGUGCUAUGCAGUAGGUCUUUGUUGCUUAUCUCUUUUGUAUAUAGUAGUGUGUGUGUGUUAAUCCCAAAUUCCUAAUUUAUUCCUCCCCCCCUUUCCCCUUUGGUAACUGUAAGUUUGUUUUCUGUCUGUGAGUCUGUUUCUGUUUUGUAACACAUCAAACUUUCAAGGAAGAUAAUAGUACUAUUCUCACUACUUUAAAAUUUGCCAAAAGGUAGAUUUCAGGUUGUGUUUUUACAUGCACAAUAACAAGAAACAAAGAGGGCAGGAGGAAACUUUUGGAGGUGGAUGGAUAUGUUUCUGGAAUAGUUAUAGUGAUGGUUUCAUGAUAUCUGCAAACUCAUCAAGUUGUAUACAUUAAACAUGUGCAGCUUUUGUAUCUCAAUAAAGUUGUUAAAAUAAAACAAAAUUCCAAAAAAAUUAUGUGAUUUCUGCCAGAUCCUACAGUGUACUGCUAACCUGGGGUCACUUUAAUUUCUCAACUUAGGGUAUCACCUAUAGACAGGGAGGUAUAAAAUUGGACUUGAGAUAUGAAAAAAAGCAGAGAGAAACGUAGGAUACAAUUUUCUCAAGGAGUCUAUAAUUAUCAUUAGUAUUUCUACCGUUAAGAAAAUUGAUCCUAAACUUGGAAAUAAAAUAAAAGGAUGACAACAUGUCCUUUCAGUGUCAUACCGGAAUAUUGUCUAAGAGUGAAUUGAUUCUCUCAGGCAGCAUAGCCGAAAAGGACUCUCUGUGCUGAUGAAAAUGUCUAUAUGCUGCCCCAUAUAGUAGCCAUCAGCCACAUGUGGCUAUGGAGCACUUGAUGUAGCAAAUGCAAAUGAGAAACUGAAUUUUAACUUUAAUUAAUUUAAACAUGUGUGUAGUGGUUCCUACAUUGGUCAGUGUAGCUUUAGCGGAAUGUACCUCUGACUUACUAUUUACUGUUUGGUUUACGAGUAUUUUGUGGAGGAUUUUUGCAUUUAUGUUCAUCAGUAAUAUUGGCUUGUAUUUUUCUUUUUUCCUGAUUUCUUUGUCUGGUGUUGGUAUCAGGGUGAUGCUGGCCUCAUAGAUUGAUUUCAGAAAGUGUUCUUUCCUCUGAAAUUUUUUGGAAAUAGUUUCAGAAGGAUAGGUGUUAUUUCUUCUCUAAAUAUUUGGCAGAAUUCACCUGUGAAGCCAUCUGGUCCUGGGCAUCUAUUUGUUGGGAGUUUUAAAAUUACUGAUUCAAUUUUAGAACUGGUAGUUGGUCUGUUUUCUAUUUCUUCCUGGUUCAGUCUUGGGUGACUUACUAUUUACUGUUGAUUACGGCUGAGACUCUGUGAAGUUACAUCUUUAUUCGCAGAAAAUUGAUGAUAUGAAAAAAGACUUAUUUGGUAGAGAUGUAUUUUCCAUCUAGUAGAAAUGAUAACCCCCAAAGUUAAGAUUAUUUAACUCAUUAAUGAGGGAAUCAGCAGGAUGGGUCCAGCUGAAGUAUGAUGGCAAGUGUUAGAUACAGGUUAAUAUCCUACAGUUUUAAUUAUUGGGCAAUAAAAUGAUAACUUUGGGGGUUAUAUAUGGAGAUUUCCACACUGCAUUACUGAGGCUUGGGCAUAGCAAAAGAGAGGGCAGGAUAACUAUACCAAUAUAAAAUAAGCAAAAAGAAACCAACCAACUGGAAUGUAACAUGUAAAACACAGCUGAAGAGAAUCUAAAAUUAAGCCUAACACAAGGAAAUGAAGAAUAUGCCAUACGUGUGCUUCAUGCUCUGGAAAAAUCUAAUAAGGAUAUGAAUUUGAUAAAACAAGAGCCCCAAGGUAUUAUAUUAAAUCAAUACAAUUAGAGGGAAAGAGUGAUUGAAGUGCCAACACAAUUCCAUUACAGAUAACAAAUAAACCCCAAACAGCAAGUGGCAGAAUAGACAAAGCUUAAAAUCAAAUCACUAGCAUGAAGGAGAAGCUUGAGUUAGUUUCAGUGAAUGUGAAGAU
RNAcentral lists this long non-coding RNA (4497 nucleotides) under Sus scrofa (pig). RNAcentral's name for it is "lncRNA (ENSSSCG00000059842.1)". The record is from RNAcentral. Lineage: Eukaryota; Metazoa; Chordata; Mammalia; Artiodactyla; Suidae.